This 103-nucleotide microRNA precursor is filed under the name Marmota monax (woodchuck). The record is from RNAcentral. Lineage: Eukaryota; Metazoa; Chordata; Mammalia; Rodentia; Sciuridae.
AAUGGGAUAGCUGGGCCAAAUGGUGGUUUCAUUCCUGGUUUUACAAGAAAUCUUCAUACUGCUUUCCAUAUUGGCUGCACCAAUUUGCAGUCCCACCAGCAAU